RNAcentral lists this ribosomal RNA (1027 nucleotides) under Bacillus sp. (in: firmicutes). RNAcentral describes it as "bacterial SSU rRNA". It matches the Rfam family "Bacterial small subunit ribosomal RNA", at positions 67 to 1076 of the family's 1533-position model. The record is from RNAcentral. Lineage: Bacteria; Bacillati; Bacillota; Bacilli; Caryophanales; Bacillaceae.
CGAACAGAAGGGAGCUUGCUCCCGGAUGUUAGCGGCGGACGGGUGAGUAACACGUGGGUAACCUGCCUGUAAGACUGGGAUAACUCCGGGAAACCGGAGCUAAUACCGGAUAGUUCCUUGAACCGCAUGGUUCAAGGAUGAAAGACGGUUUCGGCUGUCACUUACAGAUGGACCCGCGGCGCAUUAGCUAGUUGGUGGGGUAAUGGCUCACCAAGGCGACGAUGCGUAGCCGACCUGAGAGGGUGAUCGGCCACACUGGGACUGAGACACGGCCCAGACUCCUACGGGAGGCAGCAGUAGGGAAUCUUCCGCAAUGGACGAAAGUCUGACGGAGCAACGCCGCGUGAGUGAUGAAGGUUUUCGGAUCGUAAAGCUCUGUUGUUAGGGAAGAACAAGUGCGAGAGUAACUGCUCGCACCUUGACGGUACCUAACCAGAAAGCCACGGCUAACUACGUGCCAGCAGCCGCGGUAAUACGUAGGUGGCAAGCGUUGUCCGGAAUUAUUGGGCGUAAAGGGCUCGCAGGCGGUUUCUUAAGUCUGAUGUGAAAGCCCCCGGCUCAACCGGGGAGGGUCAUUGGAAACUGGGAAACUUGAGUGCAGAAGAGGAGAGUGGAAUUCCACGUGUAGCGGUGAAAUGCGUAGAGAUGUGGAGGAACACCAGUGGCGAAGGCGACUCUCUGGUCUGUAACUGACGCUGAGGAGCGAAAGCGUGGGGAGCGAACAGGAUUAGAUACCCUGGUAGUCCACGCCGUAAACGAUGAGUGCUAAGUGUUAGGGGGUUUCCGCCCCUUAGUGCUGCAGCUAACGCAUUAAGCACUCCGCCUGGGGAGUACGGUCGCAAGACUGAAACUCAAAGGAAUUGACGGGGGCCCGCACAAGCGGUGGAGCAUGUGGUUUAAUUCGAAGCAACGCGAAGAACCUUACCAGGUCUUGACAUCCUCUGACAACCCUAGAGAUAGGGCUUUCCCUUCGGGGACAGAGUGACAGGUGGUGCAUGGUUGUCGUCAGCUCGUGUCGUGAGAUGUU